UUCGACGUUAGCGGCGGACGGGUGAGUAACACGUGGGCAACCUACCUUAUAGUUUGGGAUAACUCCGGGAAACCGGGGCUAAUACCGAAUAAUCUGUUUCACCUCAUGGUGAAACACUGAAAGACGGUUUCGGCUGUCGCUAUAGGAUGGGCCCGCGGCGCAUUAGCUAGUUGGUGAGGUAACGGCUCACCAAGGCGACGAUGCGUAGCC
RNAcentral lists this ribosomal RNA (210 nucleotides) under Lysinibacillus fusiformis. Its description in RNAcentral is "partial 16S ribosomal RNA". It matches the Rfam family "Bacterial small subunit ribosomal RNA", at positions 85 to 288 of the family's 1533-position model. Lineage: Bacteria; Bacillati; Bacillota; Bacilli; Caryophanales; Bacillaceae. The record is from RNAcentral.